UACGAAGGGGGCUAGCGUUGCUCGGAAUUACUGGGCGUAAAGGGCGCGUAGGCGGAUAGUUUAGUUGGGGGUGAAAGCCCGGGGCUCAACCUCGGAACUGCCUUCAAUACUGGCUAUCUUGAGUACGGGAGAGGUGUGUGGAACUCCGAGUGUAGAGGUGAAAUUCGUAGAUAUUCGGAAGAACACCAGUGGCGAAGGCGACACACUGGCCCGUUACUGACGCUGAGGCGCGAAAGCGUGGGGAGCAAAC
This 250-nucleotide ribosomal RNA is filed under the name uncultured bacterium. RNAcentral describes it as "partial 16S ribosomal RNA". It matches the Rfam family "Bacterial small subunit ribosomal RNA", at positions 524 to 773 of the family's 1533-position model. The record is from RNAcentral.